CCGUGAGCAACCUGCCCCUGACUCUGGGAUAAGCGCUGGAAACGGCGUCUAAUACUGGAUACGAGUAGCGACCGCAUGGUCAGUUACUGGAAAGAUUUAUUGGUUGGGGAUGGGCUCGCGGCCUAUCAGCUUGUUGGUGAGGUAAUGGCUCACCAAGGCGUCGACGGGUAGCCGGCCUGAGAGGGUGACCGGCCACACUGGGACUGAGACACGGCCCAGACUCCUACGGGAGGCAGCAGUGGGGAAUAUUGCACAAUGGGCGCAAGCCUGAUGCAGCAACGCCGCGUGAGGGAUGACGGCCUUCGGGUUGUAAACCUCUUUUAGCAGGGAAGAAGCGAAAGUGACGGUACCUGCAGAAAAAGCGCCGGCUAACUACGUGCCAGCCGCCGCGGUAAUAMAA
This 400-nucleotide ribosomal RNA is filed under the name Microbacterium foliorum. Its description in RNAcentral is "bacterial SSU rRNA". It matches the Rfam family "Bacterial small subunit ribosomal RNA", at positions 115 to 528 of the family's 1533-position model. Lineage: Bacteria; Bacillati; Actinomycetota; Actinomycetes; Micrococcales; Microbacteriaceae. The record is from RNAcentral.